RNAcentral lists this transfer RNA (92 nucleotides) under Rhodotorula graminis WP1. RNAcentral describes it as "tRNA-Pro". The record is from RNAcentral. Lineage: Eukaryota; Fungi; Basidiomycota; Microbotryomycetes; Sporidiobolales; Sporidiobolaceae.
GGCCUGAUGGUCUAGAGGCAUGAUUCUCUCUUAGGGUUGAGCGCAGCUUGACAAUUUGGGAGAGGUCCCGGGUUCAAUCCCCGGUUAGGCCC